UACCAUGAUGUCAAUUUGUAGGUUGAGGAACGACUGGUGUCCGUGGACGAAUUGCUUGAUGCUGAUGAAGUUUUUUGUACGGGAACAGCAGUGGUUGUUUCUCCUGUGGGUAGCAUUACUCAUCAAGGGAAAAGGGUAACAUAUGGAAAUAAUGGGGUUGGUCUUGUGUCGCAGCAAUUAUACUCUGCACUUACUAGGCUACAAAUGGGACUCACAGAGGAUAAGAUGGGUUGGAUUGUCGAGCUUAAGUGAGCUUCCAAUCAAGAGUAGUAUUUUCUGUUGGUGCAAAAAAUUUUAACUUGGAAGUUUUCAGACACUUGUGAUCCAGAAUGUAUCUUGAUUAUUCAUCCCAUGAUGCUUGUCAAGUAUAUCUGUGUAUUUGAUAUGUAUCCUUCAUCUAUAAAUAGUCAUUUCCACCCAAAAUUUGCUGAUUA
This is a non-coding RNA of Nicotiana tabacum (common tobacco), 434 nucleotides long. NCBI's taxonomy places the organism in Eukaryota, Viridiplantae, Streptophyta, Magnoliopsida, Solanales, Solanaceae. The record is from RefSeq and is a predicted model, not a curated record.